GACAGACCAUAGUUAGUUAAUUCGGAUUCGGCAAAAGUUCGGUACGGGUAUAAUUCGGAUAAAAUUCGUCUUCUAAUUUUUAAAUUCGUUGAAAAAAUCGGCUAAAAAACGGAUUAGUCAAUUAUUCGGAUACGUGAUUCAUACGGAUAUUAUACGUUCACCAAUUAAAAAUUCGGGAUCAAAAAUUCGGCUAUUAAAUUAAAUUUUUUCCUCUUAAAAUUUAUGCUAUUAGCAUAAAUAUUCAUAUUUUUUAAGAAUAUAAGAAUAACGAGCUACAAAAUUAAAUAAAAAAAUAAUAAACUAUAUUAUGCCUAAAAAAGAAUAAAUAAUUAAGCAAAUAAGAGAUCAAGAUAGU
This 355-nucleotide long non-coding RNA is filed under the name Ananas comosus (pineapple). Its description in RNAcentral is "long non-coding RNA (ACOM_LNC020525)". Lineage: Eukaryota; Viridiplantae; Streptophyta; Magnoliopsida; Poales; Bromeliaceae. The record is from RNAcentral.